UGGGAGGUAAAUUUCUCCUAAGGCUAAAUAUCGGCGAGAGACCGAUAGCAAACAAGUACCGUGAGGGAAAGAUGAAAAGUACUUUGAAAAGAGAGUAAAAUAGUACGUGAAAUUGUUGAAAGGGAAACGAUUGAAGUCAGUCGUACCAACGAGAAAUCAGCUUAUCGUGUGCGAACUUGUUGGCGUGCGUGAGUUUCGGCCUCGCUGUUUGCAUGUUUGUGCGUUUUGGGUGUACUUUUUCGUAUGGUAGGCCAACGUCAGUUUCGAUUAUCAUAAAAUGACCGGCAGAAUGUAGCUUCGAUUUCGGUUGAAGUGUUAUAGCCUCUGGUAGAUGUGGUGAUCGGGACUGAGGAUUGCAACGAAUACCUUUGGGCUAUCCGUCUGACCUCUGAAAGUUGCUCAGGUGCCGAAAGCUUGCUUACGGUCAUUUAAGUUGACGUUCAACAGGCUAGAACGUGAUUACAUUCGUUAAGGACGUUGGCGUAAUGGCUUUAAACAACCCGUCUUGAAACACGGACCAAGGAGUCUAACAUAUAUGCGAGUGUUUGGUGUUCAAACCCCUACGCGUAAUGAAAGUAAUUUUGGUGGGAUCACUUUUGUGUGCACCAUCGACC
This 614-nucleotide ribosomal RNA is filed under the name uncultured Glomeromycotina. RNAcentral describes it as "eukaryotic LSU rRNA". It matches the Rfam family "Eukaryotic large subunit ribosomal RNA", at positions 293 to 766 of the family's 3401-position model. The record is from RNAcentral. Lineage: Eukaryota; Fungi; Glomeromycota.